RNAcentral lists this ribosomal RNA (492 nucleotides) under uncultured bacterium. RNAcentral describes it as "partial 16S ribosomal RNA". It matches the Rfam family "Bacterial small subunit ribosomal RNA", at positions 29 to 507 of the family's 1533-position model. The record is from RNAcentral.
AGUGAACGCUGGCGGUAGGCCUAGCACAUGCAAGUCGAACGGCAGCACAGUAAGAGCUUGCUCUUACGGGUGGCGAGUGGCGGACGGGUGAGGAAUACAUCGGAAUCUACUUUUUCGUGGGGGAUAACGUGGGGAAACUUACGCUAAUACCGCAUACGACCUCCGGGUGAAAGCAGGGGAUCUUCGGACCUUGCGCGAUUGAAUGAGCCGAUGUCGGAUUAGCUAGUUGGCGGGGUAAAGGCCCACCAAGGCGACGAUCCGUAGCUGGUCUGAGAGGAUGAUCAGCCACACUGGAACUGAGACACGGUCCAGACUCCUACGGGAGGCAGCAGUGGGGAAUAUUGGACAAUGGGCGCAAGCCUGAUCCAGCCAUACCGCGUGGGUGAAGAAGGCCUUCGGGUUGUAAAGCCCUUUUGUUGGGAAAGAAAAGCAGCAGGUUAAUACCCCGCUGUUCUGACGGUACCCAAAGAAUAAGCACCGGCUAACUUCGUG